RNAcentral lists this ribosomal RNA (600 nucleotides) under uncultured Janthinobacterium sp. Its description in RNAcentral is "bacterial SSU rRNA". It matches the Rfam family "Bacterial small subunit ribosomal RNA", at positions 9 to 604 of the family's 1533-position model. Lineage: Bacteria; Pseudomonadati; Pseudomonadota; Betaproteobacteria; Burkholderiales; Oxalobacteraceae. The record is from RNAcentral.
GAGUUUGAUCCUGGCUCAGAUUGGACGCUGGCGGCAUGCCUUACACAUGCAAGUCGAACGGCAGCACGGAGCUUGCUCUGGUGGCGAGUGGCGAACGGGUGAGUAAUAUAUCGGAACGUACCCUAGAGUGGGGGAUAACGUAGCGAAAGUUACGCUAAUACCGCAUACGAUCUAAGGAUGAAAGUGGGGGAUCGCAAGACCUCAUGCUCGUGGAGCGGCCGAUAUCUGAUUAGCUAGUUGGUAGGGUAAAAGCCUACCAAGGCAUCGAUCAGUAGCUGGUCUGAGAGGACGACCAGCCACACUGGAACUGAGACACGGUCCAGACUCCUACGGGAGGCAGCAGUGGGGAAUUUUGGACAAUGGGCGAAAGCCUGAUCCAGCAAUGCCGCGUGAGUGAAGAAGGCCUUCGGGUUGUAAAGCUCUUUUGUCAGGGAAGAAACGGUGAGAGCUAAUAUCUCUUGCUAAUGACGGUACCUGAAGAAUAAGCACCGGCUAACUACGUGCCAGCAGCCGCGGUAAUACGUAGGGUGCAAGCGUUAAUCGGAAUUACUGGGCGUAAAGCGUGCGCAGGCGGUUUUGUAAGUCUGAUGUGAAAUCCCC